Molecule: ribosomal RNA, 253 nt
Filed under: uncultured bacterium
Lineage: Bacteria
Description: partial 16S ribosomal RNA
Rfam family: Bacterial small subunit ribosomal RNA
Source: RNAcentral
UACGAAGGUCCCAAGCGUUAUCCGGAUUUAUUGGGUUUAAAGGGUGCGUAGGCGGGCAGGUAAGUCAGUGGUGAAAUCUCCGGGCUUAACCCGGAAACUGCCGUUGAUACUAUCUGUCUUGAAUAUCGUGGAGGUAAGCGGAAUAUGUCAUGUAGCGGUGAAAUGCUUAGAUAUGACAUAGAACACCGAUUGCGAAGGCAGCUUACUACACGAUCAUUGACGCUGAGGCACGAAAGCGUGGGGAGCAAACAGG